CCUACGGGUGGCAGCAGUGGGGGAUAUUGCACAAUGGGGGGAACCCUGAUGCAGCGACGCCGCGUGGGUGAAGAAGCUCCUCUGCGCGUAAAGCCCUGUCAGCAGGGAAGAAAAUGACGGUACCUGAAGACGAAGCCCCGGCUACCUACGUGCCAGCCGCCGCGGUAAUACGUAGGGGGCAAGCGUUAUCCGGAUUUACUGGGUGUAAAGGGGGCGCAGACGGCGAUGCAAGCCAGGAGUGAAAGCCCGGGGCCCAACCCCGGGACUGCUCUUGGAACUGCAUGGCUGGAGUGCAGGAGGGGCAGGAGGAAUGCCUGGUGGAGCGGUGAAAGGCGUAGAUAUCAGGAGGAACACCGGUGGCGAAGGCGGCCUGCUGGACUGCAACUGACGUUGAGGCCCGAAAGCGUGGGGAGCAAACAGGAUUAGAUACCCCUGUAGUC
Molecule: ribosomal RNA, 440 nt
Filed under: uncultured bacterium
Lineage: Bacteria
Description: partial 16S ribosomal RNA
Rfam family: Bacterial small subunit ribosomal RNA
Source: RNAcentral